Long non-coding RNA from Corapipo altera (White-ruffed manakin), 300 nucleotides. RefSeq lists it as uncharacterized. NCBI's taxonomy places the organism in Eukaryota, Metazoa, Chordata, Aves, Passeriformes, Pipridae. The record is from RefSeq and is a predicted model, not a curated record. The transcript is spliced from 3 exons.
CGGGGCAUCACGGGAGUUGUAGUUUCCCUUCAGGUGACUCCGUCAGGGAGAAAUAAAUAGUUUUAUAAUUUGUUCCCUCAGAAUUAAUCUUAUUAUUAUGGCUUCCCAUUGCCAGAGGAUCUGCAAAAACUGACAUAUGUGGCAGCUGCAAAAAAAAUUUCCCUAGACUUGGACAGGAAUAUCCUCUCUUUCAUUAUGACUUAUCCUACAAGUCUUUAUCUCAACUUAUACAAAAUCAAGGUGAAAACCAGAAUUCCAACCUCAGUCCUUCAUUACAGCAACCUCUCUGCAAAAGGAGCA